UAUAAGAACUCUUACAGUCUUAGAUGUUAUUAAAAAAAUAUAAAUAUAUCUGAAUUGUAAGAGUUGUUAGCAC
Molecule: microRNA precursor, 73 nt
Organism: Mustela putorius furo (domestic ferret)
Lineage: Eukaryota; Metazoa; Chordata; Mammalia; Carnivora; Mustelidae
Source: Ensembl